RNAcentral lists this long non-coding RNA (318 nucleotides) under Prunus dulcis (almond). RNAcentral's name for it is "sRNA ncRNA". The record is from RNAcentral. Lineage: Eukaryota; Viridiplantae; Streptophyta; Magnoliopsida; Rosales; Rosaceae.
UUGGAAGGGUAAUGUUGCAAAUGUUUUCAGCACAAUUCGAGCUAACAGGAUAACUGACGAUGGCUCGCAGGCAGUGCAAGGCUUAGUUAUUCGUUAGAAAAUUCUUGGUUAUGUAGGUUCAUGGCUGACUUAUGAAAGCUUGAAGUAGUAUUUAUGAUUCCCAAUUAUUUUCCCUUUGGACUUUGGAUCCAAAUGUUUUGGAAAUUUUGACAGGAAAAAGGUCUCUUGUUAUUUACAAAUCUUAUGAUUAUACGCUUGGUAAAUGUUGAAUGACUGCUUAUAUAUCAUCAGCAACUUCUGUUGCGUUUGACAGGAAAA